GUGGGGAAUCUUGCGCAAUGGGCGAAAGCCUGACGCAGCCAUGCCGCGUGAAUGAUGAAGGUCUUAGGAUUGUAAAAUUCUUUCACCGGGGACGAUAAUGACGGUACCCGGAGAAGAAGCCCCGGCUAACUUCGUGCCAGCAGCCGCGGUAAUACGAAGGGGGCUAGCGUUGCUCGGAAUUACUGGGCGUAAAGGGCGCGUAGGCGGAUCGUUAAGUCAGAGGUGAAAUCCCAGGGCUCAACCCUGGAACUGCCUUUGAUACUGGCGAUCUUGAGUAUGAGAGAGGUAUGUGGAACUCCGAGUGUAGAGGUGAAAUUCGUAGAUAUUCGGAAGAACACCAGUGGCGAAGGCGACAUACUGGCUCAUUACUGACGCUGAGGCGCGAAAGCGUGGGGAGCAAACAGGAUUAGAAACCCUAGUAGUCCC
This 426-nucleotide ribosomal RNA is filed under the name uncultured bacterium. Its description in RNAcentral is "bacterial SSU rRNA". It matches the Rfam family "Bacterial small subunit ribosomal RNA", at positions 354 to 797 of the family's 1533-position model. The record is from RNAcentral.